UCUCACUGAUGAUAAGAUUAGAUGACGAAUCUGAGAAAUUCCAUUCAUACAAAUAUGAUGUAAAUUGAGGCAUUUGUCUGAGAGAA
Molecule: small nucleolar RNA, 86 nt
Organism: Zostera marina
Lineage: Eukaryota; Viridiplantae; Streptophyta; Magnoliopsida; Alismatales; Zosteraceae
Rfam family: Plant small nucleolar RNA SNOR75
About the family: U15 is a member of the C/D class of snoRNA which contain the C (UGAUGA) and D (CUGA) box motifs.
Source: Rfam